Molecule: ribosomal RNA, 427 nt
Filed under: uncultured Pseudomonas sp.
Lineage: Bacteria; Pseudomonadati; Pseudomonadota; Gammaproteobacteria; Pseudomonadales; Pseudomonadaceae
Description: bacterial SSU rRNA
Rfam family: Bacterial small subunit ribosomal RNA
Source: RNAcentral
AGUGGGGAAUAUUGGACAAUGGGCGAAAGCCUGAUCCAGCCAUGCCGCGUGUGUGAAGAAGGUCUUCGGAUUGUAAAGCACUUUAAGUUGGGAGGAAGGGUUGUACGUUAAUACCGUGCAAUUUUGACGUUACCGACAGAAUAAGCACCGGCUAACUCUGUGCCAGCAGCCGCGGUAAUACAGAGGGUGCAAGCGUUAAUCGGAAUUACUGGGCGUAAAGCGCGCGUAGGUGGUUUGUUAAGUUGGAUGUGAAAGCCCCGGGCUCAACCUGGGAACUGCAUCCAAAACUGGCAAGCUAGAGUAGGGCAGAGGGUGGUGGAAUUUCCUGUGUAGCGGUGAAAUGCGUAGAUAUAGGAAGGAACACCAGUGGCGAAGGCGACCACCUGGGCUCAUACUGACACUGAGGUGCGAAAGCGUGGGGAGCAAA